RNAcentral lists this small RNA (63 nucleotides) under Xanthomonas campestris pv. campestris. Its description in RNAcentral is "partial sX9 sRNA". It matches the Rfam family "Xanthomonas sRNA sX9", at positions 1 to 64 of the family's 76-position model. Lineage: Bacteria; Pseudomonadati; Pseudomonadota; Gammaproteobacteria; Lysobacterales; Lysobacteraceae. The record is from RNAcentral.
AUGUACCCACGUACACUCCGGUUCCUCCGCGCCGUCCGCACCCACCUGACGGCUGCUCGCUAC